AGUGAACGCUGGCGGUAGGCCUAACACAUGCAAGUCGAACGGCAGCACCGUAAGAGCUUGCUCUUACGGGUGGCGAGUGGCGGACGGGUGAGGAAUACAUCGGAAUCUACUUUUUCGUGGGGGUUAACGUAGGGAAACUUACGCUAAUACCGCAUACGACCUACGGGUGAAAGCAGGGGAUCUUCGGACCUUGCGCGAUUGAAUGAGCCGAUGUCGGAUUAGCUAGUUGGCGGGGUAAAGGCCCACCAAGGCGGCGAUCCGUAGCUGGUCUGAGAGGAUGAUCGCCGACAUGGGAGGUGAGACACGGUCCAGAGGACUACGGUAGGGAGCAGUGGGGAAUAUUGGACAAUGGGCGCAAGCCUGAUCCAGCCAGACCGCGUGGGAUGAGAAGGCGUUCGGGUUGUAAAGCCCUUUUGUUGGUAAUGAAAAGCAGCAGGUUAAGACCCCGCUGUUCUGACGGUACCCAAAGAAUAAGCACCGGCUAACUUCGUG
This 492-nucleotide ribosomal RNA is filed under the name uncultured bacterium. Its description in RNAcentral is "partial 16S ribosomal RNA". It matches the Rfam family "Bacterial small subunit ribosomal RNA", at positions 29 to 507 of the family's 1533-position model. The record is from RNAcentral.